This 65-nucleotide transfer RNA is filed under the name Dipodomys ordii (Ord's kangaroo rat). It matches the Rfam family "tRNA". From Rfam's summary of the family: Transfer RNA (tRNA) molecules are approximately 80 nucleotides in length. Lineage: Eukaryota; Metazoa; Chordata; Mammalia; Rodentia; Heteromyidae. The record is from Rfam by way of RNAcentral.
GGUGGCUCAGUGGUAGAGUGCUUGCCUUACAAGCAUGAGGCCCUGGGUUCGAUUCCUCAGCACCA